UACAGAGGUCCCAAGCGUUUGUUCGGAUUCACUGGGCGUAAAGGGUGCGUAGGCGGUCGGGUAAGUCUGAUGUGAAAUCUCACAGCUUAACUGUGAAACUGCAUUGGAUACUAUUCGGCUAGAGAGUUGGAGGGGGGACUGGAAUUCUUGGUGUAGCAGUGAAAUGCGUAGAUAUCAAGAGGAACACCAGUGGCGAAGGCGAGUCCCUGGACAACUUCUGACGCUGAGGCACGAAAGCUAGGGGAGCAAACAGG
Molecule: ribosomal RNA, 254 nt
Filed under: uncultured bacterium
Lineage: Bacteria
Description: partial 16S ribosomal RNA
Rfam family: Bacterial small subunit ribosomal RNA
Source: RNAcentral